This 440-nucleotide ribosomal RNA is filed under the name uncultured bacterium. RNAcentral's name for it is "partial 16S ribosomal RNA". It matches the Rfam family "Bacterial small subunit ribosomal RNA", at positions 338 to 795 of the family's 1533-position model. The record is from RNAcentral.
CCUACGGGAGGCAGCAGUGGGGAAUCUUCGGCAAUGGAGGAAAGCCUGACCGAGCAACGCCGCGUGAGUGAAGAAGGAUUUCGGUAUGUAAAGCUCUAUUAGCAGGGAAGAACAUGGAGGUACCUGACUAAGAAGCCCCGGCUAACUACGUACCAGCAGCCGCGGUAAUACUAAGUGGGCGAGGCUGCGCCGGAUUUAAUGGGGGUAAAGGGGGCGGAGUCGGUGUAGCAAGUCGGAUGUGAAAGGUCGGGGCUCAACCCGGGGUCGUCAUUGGAAACUGUUGAACGUGAGUACAGGAGAGGAAAGCGGAAUUCCUAGUGUAGCGGUGAAAUGCGUAGAUAUUAGGAGGAACACCAGUGGCGAAGGCGGCUCUCUGGACUGUAACUGACGCUGAGGCUCGAAAGCGUGGGGAGCAAACAGGAUUAGAUACCCGUGUAGUC